AUUGAACGCUGGCGGCAGGCCUAACACAUGCAAGUCGAGCGGAUGAAGGGAGCUUGCUCCUGGAUUCAGCGGCGGACGGGUGAGUAAUGCCUAGGAAUCUGCCUGGUAGUGGGGGAUAACGUCCGGAAACGGGCGCUAAUACCGCAUACGUCCUGAGGGAGAAAGUGGGGGAUCUUCGGACCUCACGCUAUCAGAUGAGCCUAGGUCGGAUUAGCUAGUCGGUGGGGUAAAGGCCUACCAAGGCGACGAUCCGUAACUGAUCUGAGAGGAUGAUCAGUCACACUGGAACUGAGACACGGUCCAGACUCCUACGGGAGGCAGCAGUGGGGAAUAUUGGACAAAGGGCGAAAGCCUGAUCCAGCCAUGCCGCGUGUGUGAAGAAGGUCUUCGGAUUGUAAAGCACUUUAAGUUGGGAGGAAGGGCAGUAAGUUAAUACCUUGCUGUUUUGACGUUACCAACAGAAUAAGCACCGGCUAACUUCGUG
Molecule: ribosomal RNA, 484 nt
Filed under: uncultured bacterium
Lineage: Bacteria
Description: partial 16S ribosomal RNA
Rfam family: Bacterial small subunit ribosomal RNA
Source: RNAcentral